CAAGUCUUGACAUCUAACUGACGUAUGGGCAAUGCCAUAUUUCCUUCGGGACAGUUAAGACAGGUGGUGCAUGGUUGUCGUCAGCUCGUGUCGUGAGAUGUUGGGUCAAGUCCCGCAACGAGCGCAACCCUUAUCUUUAGUAGCCAGCAAGUGAAGUUGGGCACUCUAGAGAGACUGCCGGGGAUAACCCGGAGGAAGGUGGGGAUGACGUCAAAUCAUCAUGCCCCUUAUGAUUUGGGCUACACACGUGCUACAAUGGCGUAAACAAAGGGAAGCGAAGUGGUGACGCGGAGCAAAUCCCAAAAAUAACGUCCCAGUUCGGAUUGUAGUCUGCAACCCGACUACAUGAAGCUGGAAUCGCUAGUAAUCGCGGAUCAGAAUGCCGCGGUGAAUACGUUCCC
Molecule: ribosomal RNA, 401 nt
Filed under: uncultured bacterium
Lineage: Bacteria
Description: bacterial SSU rRNA
Rfam family: Bacterial small subunit ribosomal RNA
Source: RNAcentral